RNAcentral lists this transfer RNA (67 nucleotides) under Oxytauchira flange. RNAcentral's name for it is "tRNA-Ser". Lineage: Eukaryota; Metazoa; Arthropoda; Insecta; Orthoptera; Acrididae. The record is from RNAcentral.
GAAAUGUAAAGUCAAUAAUAAAGCUGCUAACUUUUACUAUUAGCGGUUUAACUCCGUUAACAUUUCU